Gorilla gorilla gorilla (western lowland gorilla) is the source of this 2219-nucleotide long non-coding RNA. RefSeq lists it as uncharacterized. The record is from RefSeq and is a predicted model, not a curated record. Lineage: Eukaryota; Metazoa; Chordata; Mammalia; Primates; Hominidae. The transcript has 3 exons.
CUGUCACCCAAGCUGGAGUGCAGUGGCAAGAUCUCGGCUGAGUAGCUGGGAUUAUAGGUGCGCACCACUACACCCAGAUAAUUUUUUUGUAUUUUUAGUAGAGACGGGGUUUCACCUGUUGGCCAGGCUGGUCUCAAACUCCUGACCUCGAGUGAUCUGCUGGCCUUGGCCUCCCAAAGUGCUGGGAUUACAGGCGUGAGCCAUUGCGCCUGGCCUUUUUUUUCUGGAUUUCAAUGUGGAACAACAAUUUUUCUCUUUUUUUUUUUUUGUUGGAGAUGGAGUUUUGUUCUUGUUGGCCCAGGCUAGACUGCAGUGGCUGGAUCUCGGCUCAUUGCAACUUCCGCCUCCCGGAUUCAAAUGAUUCUCCUGCCUCAGCCUCCCUGGUAGCCAGGAUUACAGGCACCUGCCCCCAUGCCUGGCUAAUUUUUGUAUUUAUAGUAGAGACAGGAUUUCACCACGUCAGUCAGGCUGGUCUCCUACUCCUGACCUCAGGUGAUCUGCCUGCCUGGGCCUCCCAAAAUGCUGGGAUUACAGGCAUGAGCCACCUUGCCUAGCCUUUUUUUUUUUCUUUUUCUUUUUUUUUUUAAUGCAGAGCCUCUCAUCCAAACUAUUAUCCUUGUAGCUUCUUUUCAAAUACUCUUGAUUAUGUGAUGGUAGAAUAAUAAAAAUUGAAAUUGUUGUUAUUAUUGUUAUUACUUUUGACACGAAGUCUCGCUCUGUCGCCCAGGCUGGAGUGCAGUGGCAUGAUCUUGGCUCACUGCAAGCUCCGCCUCCCAGGUUCAAGCAAUUCUCUGCCUCAGCCUCCCAAGUAGCUGGGAUUACACGCACCCACCACCACGCCUAGCUAAUUUUUUUUUGUGCUUUUAGUAAAGAUGGGGUUUCACCAUCUUGGCCAGGCUGAUCUUGAACUCCAUCUCGUGAUCCACCCGCCUCGGCCUCCCAAUGUGCUGGAAUUACAGGCGUGAGCCACCACACCUGGCCAAAAACAAAAUUGAGAUUAUUAUGAAAUACAGUUUUAGGCUGAGCACAGUGGCUCACACCUGUAAUCUCAGCACUUUGGGAGGCUAAGGCAAGAGGAUCACUUGAGCCAAGGAGUUCAAGACCAGCCUGAACAACAUGGCAAGACCAAAAAAAUUAACAAAAUAGCUGGGCAUGGUGGCACACACCUGUAGUCCCAGCUACUUGGGAGGCUGAGGUGGGAGGAUCACUUGAGCCCCAGAGUUUGAUGCUGAGUGAUCAUGCCACUUCACUCCAGUCUGGGCUGCAGAGCAAGAGCCUGUCUCAAAAAAGAGAAGUUUGUCCCAGAAACCUUGUCAAUUUGAAGUAUUCCAGUGAUCCAGAUCACUCCUUGUCCCUAUGUUACACAGUGCCAACAGAUGAAAUGUAUUAGCUACACAGACAUGAUGGUCUAGUGGCUGGAUGACCAGUUAGCUGGAAUGUCUGGGAAGGUUGGGUUAGAUGCCCUCCUACGUGCUUUCCUUAAUGUCUACGACUAAAUCAUGAAGAAUUAUCCAGUACCAAUACUCUGAACUAAUCAAUUCAUUUUACCUAUUUUCCAUAAAUUCAUUGACUUUAGAGCUAUCUGGUAACUUGAGAAUAAGGUAGAAUAUGAAAUAAAAUUGUACUAAUUUAUAUCAAGUUGGAGUGCCUAGCAACAAUUCUGCCCCUCAAUUCAUUCGGGAAGACUAGGUUCUGAAAAUUACUCUGGUUAGUGUUGAAGACAGACUGAUACAUGUCAAAUUUCCUCUUUGACUCAUGGAACAAGAUUUCAGUUUUAUUUCAUCUGGCCUCCUUAGGAGAUCCUGCCCUGCCACCAGCCACUGCAAGAUAAAAAUAAGGAAGCAUUCAUUAUGGGUAUGAAACAACUGAAAAGUUUAGUUGGAGUGCAAUGACGUGAUCUCGGCUCACCGCAACCUUUGCCUCGUGGGUUCAAGCAAUUCUCUUGCCUCAGCCUCUCAAGUAGCUGCGAAUACAGCUGUACGCCACCACGCCUGGCUAAUUUUUGUAUUAUUAGUAGAGACGGGGGUUUCACCAUGUGGGCCAUGCUAGUCUCAAACUCCCGACAUCAGGUGACCCACCCACCUUGGCCUCCCAAAGUGCUGGGAUUACAGGCAUGAGCAACUGCGCCCAGCCUAGGCAAAUGAAUAAAAGAACAUCUUUUAUUUACCUGUAUCUGCGACAUUCCUCAUAGUAUGUUUGAAGGCCCAAAUGAUGGAAUC